Pogonomyrmex barbatus (red harvester ant) is the source of this 290-nucleotide long non-coding RNA. The record is from RefSeq and is a predicted model, not a curated record. Lineage: Eukaryota; Metazoa; Arthropoda; Insecta; Hymenoptera; Formicidae.
CAUUUAAUUAGCGUUAUAUCUCCAGAUCUUUUACUUGAAAGAUUUAAUUAAGAAAAGUAUAAAUAUGGAUACAUGGACUAACAAGUUAGCUGUUUUUUGGAAAGGUCCUAGCUGGUUUCCAGGUGCACCGCGUUUAGGUUUAGAUGAAUUUAAAAUAAAGGUAAAACCUAGACCUGUAUAUAAUCCUAAUAUUUCAAGAUGGAAAAAUAUAUAUAUUAGUAUACAAUUUUUGAUAACUCUGUUCAAUCAUUUUCAACUAUACAAAUAUCGUGAGGUAAGGUUUCAACAUA